Molecule: ribosomal RNA, 484 nt
Filed under: uncultured bacterium
Lineage: Bacteria
Description: partial 16S ribosomal RNA
Rfam family: Bacterial small subunit ribosomal RNA
Source: RNAcentral
AUUGAACGCUGGCGGCAGGCCUAACACAUGCAAGUCGAGCGGAUGAAGGGAGCUUGCUCCUGGAUUCAGCGGCGGACGGGUGAGUAAUGCCUAGGAAUCUGCCUGGUAGUGGGGGAUAACGUCCGGAAACGGGCGCUAAUACCGCAUACGUCCUGAGGGAGAAAGUGGGGGAUCUUCGGACCUCACGCUAUCAGAUGAGCCUAGGUCGGAUUAGCUAGUUGGUGGGGAAAAGGCCUACCAAGGCGACGAUCCGUAACUGGUCUGAGAGGAUGAUCAGUCACACUGGAACUGAGACACGGUCCAGACUCCUACGGGAGGCGGCAGUGGGGAAUAUUGGACAAUGGGCGAAAGCCUGAUCCAGCCAUGCCGCGUGUGUGAAGAAGGUCUUCGGAUUGUAAAGCACUUUAAGUUGGGAGGAAGGGCAGUAAGUUAAUACCUUGUUGUUUUGACGUUACCAACAGAAUAAGCACCGGCUAACUUCGUG